This 1480-nucleotide ribosomal RNA is filed under the name Bacillus pumilus. RNAcentral describes it as "bacterial SSU rRNA". It matches the Rfam family "Bacterial small subunit ribosomal RNA". Lineage: Bacteria; Bacillati; Bacillota; Bacilli; Caryophanales; Bacillaceae. The record is from RNAcentral.
GCUCAGGACGAACGCUGGCGGCGUGCCUAAUACAUGCAAGUCGAGCGGACAGAAGGGAGCUUGCUCCCGGAUGUUAGCGGCGGACGGGUGAGUAACACGUGGGUAACCUGCCUGUAAGACUGGGAUAACUCCGGGAAACCGGAGCUAAUACCGGAUAGUUCCUUGAACCGCAUGGUUCAAGGAUGAAAGACGGUUUCGGCUGUCACUUACAGAUGGACCCGCGGCGCAUUAGCUAGUUGGUGAGGUAACGGCUCACCAAGGCGACGAUGCGUAGCCGACCUGAGAGGGUGAUCGGCCACACUGGGACUGAGACACGGCCCAGACUCCUACGGGAGGCAGCAGUAGGGAAUCUUCCGCAAUGGACGAAAGUCUGACGGAGCAACGCCGCGUGAGUGAUGAAGGUUUUCGGAUCGUAAAGCUCUGUUGUUAGGGAAGAACAAGUGCAAGAGUAACUGCUUGCACCUUGACGGUACCUAACCAGAAAGCCACGGCUAACUACGUGCCAGCAGCCGCGGUAAUACGUAGGUGGCAAGCGUUGUCCGGAAUUAUUGGGCGUAAAGGGCUCGCAGGCGGUUUCUUAAGUCUGAUGUGAAAGCCCCCGGCUCAACCGGGGAGGGUCAUUGGAAACUGGGAAACUUGAGUGCAGAAGAGGAGAGUGGAAUUCCACGUGUAGCGGUGAAAUGCGUAGAGAUGUGGAGGAACACCAGUGGCGAAGGCGACUCUCUGGUCUGUAACUGACGCUGAGGAGCGAAAGCGUGGGGAGCGAACAGGAUUAGAUACCCUGGUAGUCCACGCCGUAAACGAUGAGUGCUAAGUGUUAGGGGGUUUCCGCCCCUUAGUGCUGCAGCUAACGCAUUAAGCACUCCGCCUGGGGAGUACGGUCGCAAGACUGAAACUCAAAGGAAUUGACGGGGGCCCGCACAAGCGGUGGAGCAUGUGGUUUAAUUCGAAGCAACGCGAAGAACCUUACCAGGUCUUGACAUCCUCUGACAACCCUAGAGAUAGGGCUUUCCCUUCGGGGACAGAGUGACAGGUGGUGCAUGGUUGUCGUCAGCUCGUGUCGUGAGAUGUUGGGUUAAGUCCCGCAACGAGCGCAACCCUUGAUCUUAGUUGCCAGCAUUCAGUUGGGCACUCUAAGGUGACUGCCGGUGACAAACCGGAGGAAGGUGGGGAUGACGUCAAAUCAUCAUGCCCCUUAUGACCUGGGCUACACACGUGCUACAAUGGACAGAACAAAGGGCUGCGAGACCGCAAGGUUUAGCCAAUCCCACAAAUCUGUUCUCAGUUCGGAUCGCAGUCUGCAACUCGACUGCGUGAAGCUGGAAUCGCUAGUAAUCGCGGAUCAGCAUGCCGCGGGUGAAUACGUUCCCGGGCCUUGUACACACCGCCCGUCACACCACGAGAGUUUGCAACACCCGAAGUCGGUGAGGUAACCUUUAUGGAGCCAGCCGCCGAAGUGGGGCAGAUGAUGGGGUGAGUC